AAGCGUUGUGAGGCGUUGAGCUAACCUGUACUAAUGACCCGUGAGGCUUAACCAUACAACACCCAAUGGGUUU
RNAcentral lists this ribosomal RNA (73 nucleotides) under Ferrimonas sediminicola. RNAcentral describes it as "Ferrimonas sp. IMCC35001 partial 23S ribosomal RNA". The record is from RNAcentral. Lineage: Bacteria; Pseudomonadati; Pseudomonadota; Gammaproteobacteria; Alteromonadales; Ferrimonadaceae.